This 70-nucleotide transfer RNA is filed under the name Gonatodes albogularis (yellow-headed gecko). RNAcentral describes it as "tRNA-His". The record is from RNAcentral. Lineage: Eukaryota; Metazoa; Chordata; Lepidosauria; Squamata; Sphaerodactylidae.
GUGGACAUAGUUUACCUUAAAACCCCAGGCUGUGGACCUGACAAUGAGACUUUACCACUCUCUGCCCACC